This 56-nucleotide non-coding RNA is filed under the name Peach latent mosaic viroid. The record is from RNAcentral.
ACAUAAGUCUGGGCUAAGCCCACUGAUGAGCCUUUGCGAUAAGGCGAAACUUAUGU